UCCAUCCAUAUCAGUAAACACGAAUGAACAAAGUACCCAUUCUCCAUUCAAAUCUGUCUUCUAUAUUUCUGGUGAACUUUCUUUCCAUGUGAUUGUUCCCCUCUAUAAAAGCAGCUUCUAUAGUUUCCCAAUCCAUCGGUCAAAGCUCAUUUCUUCUCUUGGGCACAGGCAUCAGCUUCAUUCUGUUCAUCGGAUUCAUGCCAAGUGGAAUGAUGAAACCAAUUUACAGAUGCUAAAUGACCUCCCCAGGUCUCUGAGUUAGUCAAGGUAGGAUUUGAACCCAUUUUUCCUUACUCCAAGAUUUGUCACUCA
RNAcentral lists this long non-coding RNA (312 nucleotides) under Monodelphis domestica (gray short-tailed opossum). RNAcentral's name for it is "lncRNA (ENSMODG00000048965.1)". Lineage: Eukaryota; Metazoa; Chordata; Mammalia; Didelphimorphia; Didelphidae. The record is from RNAcentral.